UGGGCAAAUAAACCAUCUGACUUCUCAAGGGGCUUGCUGUGUUCUGGUCCUGUGGUUGUCACAGGCUGAACCACCUGGGAAUGAUUGUAGCUGGCCAGUCCAUCUCUUCCUGGUACCAUGUCCAAUUCUGUUUGCUGUUGCUGCUGCCUGGGUGCCAGCUGUCCUGAGCCCAUCUCCAGGGGUAAAUUAGCUGUGGGACCUAGUUGUGGCCUCUGGAUUGUGUUGGAGAGUGUAGGCCGUGGUUCUUGGCUAGAGUUCUUCACAUUGGUGUUGGUACAGAUGAUGUACUCAAUUUCAUCUGAGUAAGGGUUCUGGAAAGUAAAGGAGCUGGUUCUCAUCCAGAGCCAUUCUUGGUUCUUAGACCGGAACCGGAACAUGACAGACAGCACUUGGCCUUUUAAUUU
This 404-nucleotide long non-coding RNA is filed under the name Homo sapiens (human). RNAcentral describes it as "LNC_000161". The record is from RNAcentral. Lineage: Eukaryota; Metazoa; Chordata; Mammalia; Primates; Hominidae.